CUGGAAGUAGCUUAUUAAAAGUUUGGGAUUCUUACUCCCAAGAUGUACCGGCUGUAAGGUAUUUUUCAGG
This 70-nucleotide transfer RNA is filed under the name Diplodiscus nigromaculati. Its description in RNAcentral is "tRNA-Lys". The record is from RNAcentral. Lineage: Eukaryota; Metazoa; Platyhelminthes; Trematoda; Plagiorchiida; Diplodiscidae.